This 427-nucleotide RNase P RNA is filed under the name Bradyrhizobium lablabi. RNAcentral's name for it is "bacterial RNase P". It matches the Rfam family "Bacterial RNase P class A". Rfam says of the family: Ribonuclease P (RNase P) is a ubiquitous endoribonuclease, found in archaea, bacteria and eukarya as well as chloroplasts and mitochondria. Lineage: Bacteria; Pseudomonadati; Pseudomonadota; Alphaproteobacteria; Hyphomicrobiales; Nitrobacteraceae. The record is from RNAcentral.
UCAGUCGGCCGGACGGCCGCUCCCGCUAUGGUCGAAAGGCUGCGGGGGAGGAAAGUCCGGGCUCCAUCGACAUACGGUGCCGGAUAACGUCCGGCGGGGGCAACCCCAGGGAAAGUGCCACAGAGAACGAACCGCCAGCCUUUGCCUUUCGGGGCUUCGGCGGGCAAGGGUGAAAAGGUGCGGUAAGAGCGCACCGCGUAUCCGGCAACGGAAACGGCAUGGCAAACCACACCGGGAGCAAAACCGAAUAGGGACGGCAACGCGGUAAGUUCGCCGCAAGGCGAUAACACCGCAGGGCGAUGUCAGGCCCGCCGUCCGGGUAGGUUGCUCGAGGCCAUGCGCAAGCAUGGUCCCAGAGGAAUGGCCGUCACGUACCGUUCGAAAGAACGGUGCCCUACAGAACCCGGCUUACAGGCUGGCUGAUAUC